GGCAUGUAGCUCAGUUGGUAGAGCGCUUGCCCAGCAUGUAAGAAGCCCUGGGUUUGGUUUCCAGCGCUGCCU
Molecule: transfer RNA, 72 nt
Filed under: Cricetulus griseus (Chinese hamster)
Lineage: Eukaryota; Metazoa; Chordata; Mammalia; Rodentia; Cricetidae
Rfam family: tRNA
About the family: Transfer RNA (tRNA) molecules are approximately 80 nucleotides in length. Their secondary structure includes four short double-helical elements and three loops (D, anti-codon, and T loops). Further hydrogen bonds mediate the characteristic L-shaped molecular structure. tRNAs have two regions of fundamental functional importance: the anti-codon, which is responsible for specific mRNA codon recognition, and the 3' end, to which the tRNAs corresponding amino acid is attached (by aminoacyl-tRNA synthetases). tRNAs cope with the degeneracy of the genetic code in two manners: having more than one tRNA (with a specific anti-codon) for a particular amino acid; and 'wobble' base-pairing, i.e. permitting non-standard base-pairing at the 3rd anti-codon position.
Source: Rfam by way of RNAcentral